Molecule: long non-coding RNA, 528 nt
Organism: Sphaeramia orbicularis (orbiculate cardinalfish)
Lineage: Eukaryota; Metazoa; Chordata; Actinopteri; Kurtiformes; Apogonidae
Exons: 3
Source: RefSeq, a predicted model, not a curated record
UUGCAGAUGCCGUUGCUGGAUCCGGACUGGACUCGGGGCGCAGGGUGGGUCUAGUGGGUCCGACUCCGGAGCUGCCGGUCUGAUCCGGACCUGAUGUCAGAGCUGUCCACCGGACAGAGCCUACCGGACAGAGGCGGAGGGCCGUGAGCGGAGCCGCUGCUGCAGCUCUUUAAACCGUGCAGGCCGUUUUCAGCCCAUGGAGGAGCGGGUCCGCCGGCGGUAACGGAAGAACCGGAAUAAGAGGGAGAACCGAACGGGGAAAACCGGAGCUGGUACCGGGACCGGGGGGAAGCCUCCGCAGGCUUUCAUGGUGCUUGUGCACGGAUAAGGAACCGAACCGCAAACCGGGGGAUUAGGACGGACCACGGACCACUGUUUGCAUCGGUAAUUGGGAAGCCUGUUUUCGGAUUGAGCGGCAGCCGCAUCCGACCCCCGACCGAUGGAGAGGGCGCAGUGAGGAGCGGACUAACGGAGCCGGUGUGUGCGUGCGUGUGUGCGUGUAGGAGGGGACGGAGGGGAGACCGGGCA